GAACCGGCUGAAGGACGCCGAGCCGAGUACCAUACACUGGACUCCUACAUGUAAAGCAGUAUGUUGCCUUCCACAACCACGGUGUCCACCUGCGCGGUCGAAGAAAUCCCAUUCCAGUUAUACCAAAACUCAAUCCUGACACGGGGAGGUAGUGACAAUAAAUAACAAUACCGGGCGCGUUAGUGUCUGGUAAUUAGAAUAAGUACAAUCUAAAUCCCUUAACGAGAAUCCAUUGGAGGGCAAGUCUGGUGCCAGCAGCCACGGUAAUUCCAGCUCCAAUAGCAUAUAUUUAAGUUGUUGCGGUUAAAAAGCUCGUUCCAAACUUUGAAAAGCAAUCAUGUCUUCAAUUAAAAUUGUAAUAUAGAUGAAUUAAUUCUGCUAUGGUACUAUAAAAAAUAGCUUGCCACAUAAUACAAACCAAAUUUUUUUAUUUUAGAGUGCAAAAUUAGCAACCUAAUGAAAAUGUAACUCAAGUAACAAUAGAACGGGGAACGGAUGGAGAGUGCAAAAGCUCAAUUUUAUUGUAUCAUCA
Molecule: non-coding RNA, 532 nt
Filed under: Zea mays
Lineage: Eukaryota; Viridiplantae; Streptophyta; Magnoliopsida; Poales; Poaceae
Description: Eukaryotic small subunit ribosomal RNA
Rfam family: Eukaryotic small subunit ribosomal RNA
Source: Rfam by way of RNAcentral